AAUUUUGGACAAUGGGGGGAACCCUGAUCCAGCCAUCCCGCGUGUGCGACGAAGGCCUUCGGGUUGUAAAGCACUUUUGGCAGGAAAGAAAUCGCAUAGGAUAAUACCCUGUGUGGAUGACGGUAACUGCAGAAUAAGCACCGGCUAACUACGUGCCAGCAGCCGCGGUAAUACGUAGGGUGCAAGCGUUAAUCGGAAUUACUGGGCGUAAAGGGUGCGCAGGCGGUUCGGAAAGAAGGAUGUGAAAGCCCAGGGCUAAACCUUGGAACUGCAUUCUUAACUACCGAACUAGAGUAUGUCAGAGGGGGGUAGAAUUCCGCGUGUAGCAGUGAAAUGCGUAGAUAUGCGGAGGAAUACCGAUGGCGAAGGCAGCCCCCUGGGAUAAUACUGACGCUCAUGCACGAAAGCGUGGGUAGCAAACAG
This 423-nucleotide ribosomal RNA is filed under the name uncultured bacterium. RNAcentral's name for it is "partial 16S ribosomal RNA". It matches the Rfam family "Bacterial small subunit ribosomal RNA", at positions 360 to 775 of the family's 1533-position model. The record is from RNAcentral.